Molecule: ribosomal RNA, 463 nt
Filed under: uncultured bacterium
Lineage: Bacteria
Description: partial 16S ribosomal RNA
Rfam family: Bacterial small subunit ribosomal RNA
Source: RNAcentral
GAUGAACGCUGACAGAAUGCUUAACACAUGCAAGUCUUUGGUGAAGCUGUGCUUGCACAGCCUAGCCAAGGCGGACGGGUGAGUAACGCGUAAGGAACUUGCCCUGCAGUCAGGGAUAACAGACGGAAACGACUGAUAAGACCUGGUAAAGUCAGGCGGACUCAUGUCCAGCCUGAUGAAAAGAGAUGCUGCAGGAGAGCCUUGCGUCCUAUUAGCUUGUUGGUGGGGUAACGGCCCACCAAGGCAAUGAUAGGUAGCCGGCCUGAGAGGGUGGACGGCCACAAGGGGACUGAGAUACGGCCCUUACUCCUACGGGAGGCAGCAGUGGGGAAUAUUGGACAAUGGGGGCAACCCUGAUGCAGCAAUUCUGUGUGCACGAUGAAGGUUUUCGGAUUGUAAAGUGCUUUCAGCAGGGAAGAAAAAAAUGACGGUACCUGCAGAAGAAGCGACGGCUAAAUACGUG